Paramuricea clavata is the source of this 224-nucleotide non-coding RNA. Lineage: Eukaryota; Metazoa; Cnidaria; Anthozoa; Malacalcyonacea; Plexauridae. The record is from the annotation of a GenBank genome assembly.
ACCGAUGGCGAUGCGGUCCGAUACCUUUAACCGAUUGCAUGUAUUUGAAAGAUAAAGCCAUUAUGCAUCUGCCAGUUACUUGACUACCUUUUCCAAUGGCUGGAAAUGGCAGAAAACAUCUAUUCAGGCUGUGCUUCAUAGCGAUACGAAGGCUAUCAUAAUGCUUAGCAAAAUGUCUGAAAAAGAAGCUCCCCAUUCUUGGUGUCACCAUUGAUUCAACGAUG